Small nuclear RNA from Heterocephalus glaber (naked mole-rat), 105 nucleotides. The record is from Ensembl. NCBI's taxonomy places the organism in Eukaryota, Metazoa, Chordata, Mammalia, Rodentia, Bathyergidae.
GUGCUGGCUUCAGCAGCACAUAUACUAAAAUUGAAGAAAUACAGAGAUUAGCCUGGGCCCUGGGGAAGGAUAACAUGCAAAAAAAGUAAAAUAAAAUAAAAAUGC